AACGCUAGCUACAGGCUUAACACAUGCAAGUCGAGGGGCAUCAGGAAGAAAGCUUGCUUUCUUUGCUGGCGACCGGCGCACGGGUNAGUAACACGUAUCCAACCUGCCCUUUACUCGGGGAUAGCCUUUCGAAAGAAAGAUUAAUACCCGAUAGCAUAAUGAUUCCGCAUGGUUUCAUUAUUAAAGGAUUCCGGUAAAGGAUGGGGAUGCGUUCCAUUAGGUUGUUGGUGAGGUAACGGCUCACCAAGCCUUCGAUGGAUAGGGGUUCUGAGAGGAAGGUCCCCCACAUUGGAACUGAGACACGGUCCUAACUCCUACGGGAGGCAGCAGUGAGGAAUAUUGGUCAAUGGGCGAUGGCCUGAACCAGCCAAGUAGCGUGAAGGAUGACUGCCCUAUGGGUUGUAAACUUCUUUUAUACGGGAAUAAAGUGAGGCACGUGUGCCUUUUUGUAUGUACCGUAUGAAUAAGGAUCGGCUAACUCCGUGCCAGCAGCCGCGGUAAUACGGAGGAUCCGAGCGUUAUCCGGAUUUAUUGGGUUUAAAGGGAGCGUANGUGGACUGGUAAGUCAGUUGUGAAAGUUUGCGGCUCAACCGUAAAAUUGCAGUUGAUACUGUCAGUCUUGAGUACAGUAGAGGUGGGCGGAAUCGUGGAGUAGCGGUGAAAUGCUUANAUAUCACGAAGAACUCCGAUUG
Molecule: ribosomal RNA, 692 nt
Filed under: uncultured bacterium
Lineage: Bacteria
Description: bacterial SSU rRNA
Rfam family: Bacterial small subunit ribosomal RNA
Source: RNAcentral